RNAcentral lists this transfer RNA (75 nucleotides) under bacterium. RNAcentral's name for it is "tRNA-Arg". It matches the Rfam family "tRNA". From Rfam's summary of the family: Transfer RNA (tRNA) molecules are approximately 80 nucleotides in length. Their secondary structure includes four short double-helical elements and three loops (D, anti-codon, and T loops). The record is from RNAcentral.
GUCCCCGUAGUGCAAUGGAUAGAAUACCUCCUUCCUAAGGAGUUGAUAGAGGUUCGAAUCCUCUCGGGGGCACCA